GAUUGGCGGCGGCGGUGGAAGCUAGUCUCUUACUCCACGCGUCUUACCACUUAAGCUGCGCGCUGAUUGAUGAACAACGAAGGCUGGUUAACCUAUUGGUCCCAUGUCCGACGUUGUAGAGCUCUUCAGGCAAACGAAGAUGUUCCUAAGCUUCGAGGCGUCGAUCUCGUUAUAAAAAUGAACCCGUGCACGAAGACAAGACAAGACAAGAAUUUCUGUGAACAGCCUAUUCACCGUCGCCGCCUUUUUCGAAUGGUCGGGUGUCUGGCGACGCCGAAGAAUCGAAUAAGUUUUUCCAAAUCACUCUUCACCGAAGAAUUCUGAAACCAUGAUAAAAAUCCACCAACACAGAUGAACCGUGACGUUAAACUGGAGGAGAGUCGAGAAUGGGUCUUCUCCGGGGGUCCAGAAAUACGGCGUCACGCCCAAAUUUAACUAGCCACAUAUCAAUACGCGACGAGAAGCGGAAUCGCCUCGCGAGCGUCAUCGAGAAGAAGAAGAGGAGAAGAAGAGAGAGAGUGAAGCCGGUGUGCGAUGUCGGCUUGAAAAAAGGAAAACGCACGAUAUCCCCGCGGUGGCGGAGGUUGCAGCCGGUGUUGCAGUUGGGGUGCACCGACGAAGGGGGAAGUGUGACGGUAGCCAAGUCCUCAUUAGCGCAUUCCGCUGCGACGCCCGCGACUCAAAGCGUCGUAAAAACGGCUGAGAUGUAGCGAGACAGAGGCAAAGGGGAAGGAAAAGGGAGAGGAGGUGCUCGCGAAUGGUACGGAGAGAGGGUCGUAGCCGCGGAAUCGAGUCGCUCAAACGCGUCCAACCCGCCUCCCCGAUUGGAAAAGGGACGAGGCGGAGGGUGGUGCAAGCUUCUCCUUCGCACUCGAACACUCGCUAUUCCGUUCUCGGGCCUGGGUCUAUUCCGAGAUGAAGCAAGCUCUGCUAGGAGAGCUUUCGUACCUACUGUAUUCGCUUCUACCAAUUCUCGAGGAUUAUUUAGUAAGGAAGCUUAUUUUCCCGGAUUCAAGAUGAAAUUAUAUAUACGGAGUGCCCCAAAAUAGAUUUUUCAUGCCAACGCUACUCGAAAGGACUCUGUCCACCACCCGUUCCUGAUGCUGUCUUAUGACGCCACAACAAGAAAUCCAAUAUCACAAGGGAGUGUUAAUUAAUGGCGUCUAAUAAAUUCUCCGCUCGAGUUACACGAUAUAAACAAAACAAACAUAGGUAAAGGAAGAAGAAUGCGGGCGAGUAAGAAGAGCGAGGAAGAAAGAAUUAAUUAACCACAGAUUAGACCGUGAACACCGUCUUCCCACGGAUAAAAAGUUUCACGUCGUCUGAGACUUCCUGGAUCGAGGUGGCGAGGAUCUCCGAGCCAGACGUACGAUCUCGUAACUAAAAGACGAACCGAAGAGAAAUCUGGGUGAUUUAUGGAGGGAGAGAAAAAGAAGAUACCCGGCACUGGUAAGUAAGUAGAAAGAGCUUCUCUCGGACGUGCUUCGUCACCGUGUUCUUUCGCGGUGGCUUAAAUUCAUGUAGCGUGAGAGUGUUUAUAAAUACGGGAAGCCGGGGAGGAUUUGUCAAGUUGCACGUUCUCGCUCGUUUCACUCGCCGGACCGAGGAAUAGA
Long non-coding RNA from Osmia bicornis bicornis, 1613 nucleotides. RefSeq lists it as uncharacterized. The transcript is spliced from 4 exons. The record is from RefSeq and is a predicted model, not a curated record. NCBI's taxonomy places the organism in Eukaryota, Metazoa, Arthropoda, Insecta, Hymenoptera, Megachilidae.